GAGUGAUAAUUCAUUGUUUAGUGUUUCUCUAAGUAUUAUUGUGUAAGGGAUCAGUCCGAGGAACGCGGCUCUAAUACCAACUGUAACGGUUCCGGAAAUUCAAAAGGAAAUACAUAUAAUAAUUUGAGUGCGGAAGUGAAAUAAAAAGUUAAGGUUAACAUCCCUUACGCAAUAACUUAAAAGUACUAAACAAACAUCACAGAAUAAGUUCUAUGAAAGAAAUACUAGAAAUGAGAAAAAUAAAGGAAACUAUAAAGCAUCUAGCAUCUACUCGCAAUUUUCUUGUGGAUCGGGCUCGGGAACCAGGUCCUCCUGAUCUGAAAUGGUUAAAUAAGAAAUAAGCUACACUAGCCCAGUAAGGACAUCACACUAUAUCACCGUCACAGAAGCAAAGGUUAGUAGAAAAUCAAAAUAACCAAUGGAGCAGUAGAUUUAAACCAAUAUAUUUAUUUAAAAUAAAACUAUUUACCUUUUUUCUUACCAUUGGGGAU
RNAcentral lists this long non-coding RNA (491 nucleotides) under Carica papaya (papaya). RNAcentral's name for it is "long non-coding RNA (CPAP_LNC011332)". Lineage: Eukaryota; Viridiplantae; Streptophyta; Magnoliopsida; Brassicales; Caricaceae. The record is from RNAcentral.